ACCAUGACAAGUGUGGUGAUCUUGUGAGUGUGCUUACGACCAUAACAAGUGGCAUCAUAGUGAGGUUUUGACGUAAGAGAAGAAGACGAUGGCGGUCAACGGUGUCUGCGGAUCCCAACCAGUUCUCCCAAUAUUCAAAGGGGUGAACUAUGAUUUCUGGUGCAUCAAGAUGAAGAUGCUCUUGCGGUCACAAGAUCUAUGGGAUCUUGUGGAGAAAGGGUCUACUGAUGUGAGCCCAUAUACCGCAAGGAAGGAUGCUAAGGCGAUGUUCCUCAUCCAGCAGGCCAUUGAUGAGAAAAUUUUUCCUCAUAUUAUUGUGGCUAGGAAAGCAAAGGAGGCAUGGGACACACUACAAAUCGAAUAUCAAGCCGAUUGGGAAGGCUUGGGAGCUAUGUUUUACUGUUGGAGAGGGAGGUUUUGAAGGUUUCUCGCAGUCCUAGCUCGACAAGAAACUAAGUUGAAGUUUAGUAAGCUGGUUUUGGAAGAGAUUAAAGCAGCAAUAGAAGUGAUGAUUUGCUGUUAUUCUUCAACUAUAAUCUAGGGAAAACAGAUUUGAAGCCUGGAAAAGUGGAUAUGUGAACCCUGUGGCUGAAUUUUGGGAGACUUUUGAAGCUAGUAUUGACUGUGACUCAUCCAUCUUAACUACAAGAAAAGCUCAUUUGAGGUGUGGAGAGGUUCACAGCAGGGGAUUGGACCCUUUUGAGCUGAGUUGUGGUUAUUGUAGGCGAGUUUAGGAUGCUCCUAAACCUGAGGGAAGUGAAGGUUUAACCUGGGUUUAUACCUAGGUUCGCAGCGGACCAUUUGAUCUUUUCGGGUAAACUUUGGAAGCUUUCAAAGGUUAAAAUUGGUAUUCUACCCUGAACCGAAGUGGGGAUUCAAGUAGUAGCAUUAUACUAGGGUACUCAGAGGCUGUGGAUUACCAUUGUUCGUGGGGUCAACACGAGUCGUCGAUUACUUGGAAUUUUCUCUCUCUAGAUAAAAGUCGCCGUUUUGCGCCGAUUUCACGCCGCGCUCGAUUCUCGCUGGUUGGAAGACUCAAGGGAGGUCUUUGGAACGUGGAAAAGAAGGGUUUUAUCGUGUUUCCUGUGAGGUUACUGCCAGGGAAGCUGAUUCUCAGCUUUAGAGACGUUCUCGAACCACUUGGGGCUAAUUUGGUGACCAGGGAGACUAGUUUGGAAGGUGUUCUAACUAAGGCGAGAGGGUAGUUGACCCUUGGACCGCCUUCGAUUGGCAUUGGAGGGCCUUUUGGAAGCUUAAUUUGAGAUAUUGAACUGAACCAAAAUAGGGAAUUAAGCUUCCACUCUGUAUUUAUUGAGAAUUUUGCCGAAAUUGGAUUAUUAAGUAAUCGUUUUGACGCGGUUUUCAUGCUUUGUUUUCAGCAGGUCCAGAGACCGUUUGAGCUGAGUUUGGAGCUUCUAUUGGGCUAUUUUGAGCUUAGUGAUAGGUGGGUUUGACCUAACCAGAGCAAGUGAAGCUCCCCUAUGUUCUAUAUGUCACUAUAGAAUGGGUUUUGUAGUGCGCUUUUUGCGACUAUGUGAUUGAUAUGAAUUUGGACAUCCUUGUUACCAUGUUUGAUAUGUUUGACAUUGUACCUCUAUGAAGUAGAGAUGAAGUAGAGAGACUGCAUGCAUAAAAGUAUUUAUGAUCAUGUCUAAUACUGUAGAAUGACUUAUGAACAAGUGUAGGAU
Molecule: long non-coding RNA, 1688 nt
Organism: Ananas comosus (pineapple)
Lineage: Eukaryota; Viridiplantae; Streptophyta; Magnoliopsida; Poales; Bromeliaceae
Exons: 10
Source: RefSeq, a predicted model, not a curated record